AUUCUCACUUUUUUCAUAUAAUUUUACAAAUAGAAACAAAUUUGUUUUGUGCCAUGAAUGAGAACCAGUUCUGUUUUAAGAAACGCUACGUAUGCAAAUAUCAGAAAAUCUAAAGAACGUUAACGAUUUAUUGUUUACACUGACAUUUGCGUGGCAUAUGUAGUGCAUAUACAGACUACUGAAAAUUGAAUUCCACUUUACAAGUAACUUUCACUUAUAUUAGUAAACUAACUAGAAUACCCAGGGUUACCACCAAACUUUUGAGAAUACUAAAAAAAAGAAAGACAAAUACAUUAUGAGAAUUAAGUAGCAUUACACUCUUUUAAAAAACCCUGCCAAACAUGGAAAAUAUGAUGACUGAAAAAGGGGCGAAAUAAACACAUAAAAGGAUUUACACUUCAACUAAAGAAGGUGUGCCAGGGGGAGGGGCUGGAGGAAACGACGAUUACCGUUGAUACCGAGGACUCCCUAAUCCGGCAGACUAGGAGAUAACAUGGGAAGAUGUCGUGAUAGGCAUGCAGAUCAUGGUCGUCUACUUUGGUGAUGUUGGCUCUCUUCAUCGUGGCCUACUCUGCCUACAAAUUUUAUCACGCGGACGAAAGUAAGACCUUAGGGCGACUCCAGUUGUCAGCCCUCCUGUUCGAACUCAACAUCUCGAGGAACAGCGUCGCCCCGUGCGCAUCUUGCCUUCGCCGGCACCUCCUCAGACGCCACUGGUCUGACCUUAGCACCGAGCUACCACGCCGAGGGCGAAGAGAAGAUUUGGCGUGAUGCGUAUAAGUGGAGAGCGGAGUGCAAGGCCUUUUGAUGGGCACUUGGCAUGGGAAGUCUCGGCUGCUUUUAUUGGUCCUGCCUUCCUGACUGGAGAAACUUAUUAGUGCAACUGCCUUACAAGAGAAGCCUUCCAAAGGGGGGUAACUCCGGGCAAGAACAUCGCCUGUCAGAUUCAGCCUCCUGCAAGAAACGCACCGCUCUUUUAUCUCAAGUACCGGGAGAGACAUUCAUUGCGGGUGCCUGUUGAUAAGUCUUUCUAAAUAACUGUUUCAUUGGCUUGGGUAACCAGUGUAGAUGAACAAGUAAAGAGGUCUAUGGCCUCUAUGCACCGAUUGUGUGAUUUUUCUCUUUCCUCCCGUGGCUCCGCCCUCAGUCGAUUCACACACCCUUCCCCGACGUAACCUAUGCGCACCUUAGAGCCGACACCUCAUGUACAGUAAAACUCUAAAUGCUCAAUCUAAGGUGCUUCAUGGUUACCUCUGUUCCAGAGAAAGCAAUUCCAGAUUUUGUUUGCUCUCACAGCAGUAUUACUGAAUCGAUAUGAUAAAACAUUUUGAUGUAAACAUCUUUGGUAAAUUUACCUCUGUGUUUUAUGAAUCUCCAUAUGCAUUUUGUGGUUGAUUAUAACCUAGUGAAUAUGUUUUAAUGUACCGGAAUGUGAAAUCAUCAGCAGACAUGAUCGUUGCAACUGAUACAGGGAUAAUUGAUGAUAACUGAAAAGAAAUAAAAUGUGAUCAACUGACACCCUGCAUCAAUCGACCUCAGAACAGGAGCAAACAUGCACACGGAUGUUUGGAAAUAUUUGGUAAGGAAAAUGAGAAAUACAUACCUAUGUAAAUACCUAUACUUACAUAUAUACAUAUACAUACAUGCAUAUAUAUAUGUAUGUAUGUGCGUGUGUGAUCAUAUACAAAAAUAUAUAUAUAUAU
Molecule: unclassified non-coding RNA, 1703 nt
Filed under: Penaeus chinensis
Lineage: Eukaryota; Metazoa; Arthropoda; Malacostraca; Decapoda; Penaeidae
Description: mucin-5B-like, transcript variant X1
Source: RNAcentral